AACAAGGUCUCCGUAGGUGAACCUGCGGAGGGAUC
Molecule: ribosomal RNA, 35 nt
Filed under: Pezicula corylina
Lineage: Eukaryota; Fungi; Ascomycota; Leotiomycetes; Helotiales; Dermateaceae
Also listed under: 10 other names
Description: partial 18S ribosomal RNA
Source: RNAcentral